CAUGCCUAACACAUGCAAGUCGAUCGGAAACGAUGGAAGCUUGCUUCCAGGCGUCGAGCGCCGGACGGGUGAAUAAUGCAUGGGAAUCUGCCCGGUAGUGGGGGAUAACGUGUGGAAACCCAUGCUAAUACCGCAUACGUCCUACGGGACAAAGGAGGGGAUCUUCGGACCUUUCCUUGUCGGAUGAGCUCAUGUCGGAUUAGUUUGUUGGUGGGGUAAAGGCCUACCCCCGCAUCCAUCCCUAGCUGGUCUGAAAGGAUGAUCCGCCCCACUGGGACUGAGACACGGCCCAUACUCCUACGGGAGGCAGCAUUGGGUAAUAUUGCACAAUGGGGGCAACCCUGAUCCCCCCAUUCCGUGUGUGUGAAUAAGGGUUUCAGGAUGUCAGGCACUUUCAACGACGAUGAAGUCAUAUUGGUCACUACCUCCUCUGAAAGACGUUGCUCGCACAAGUACCUCCGGCUAACUCCCUGCCAGCAGCCCUGGUAAUACGGACGGUGCAAGCCUUAAUCUACAUUACUGGACGCAAAGGGCGCGUAUGCAGCCUGUUAAGCUAGAUGUUAAAGCACCGGGCUCGAUUUGCGAACCGCAUUUGUGAACUGGCGGGAUUGUGUGCAGGAGACGCAGGUAGAACUCCUGGUGUCUCGUUCAUAUGCGUUGAGAUCGGGAGGAAUACCCAGUGGCGAAGGCGGCACUCUGCACUGACACUGACGCUGAGGCCGCGAAAGCGUGUGUAGCAAUCAGGAUUAGAUACCCUGGUAGUCCACGCCGUAAACGAUGUCGACCAGCGGUUGGACCCCUUGAGGGUUUAGUGGCGCAGUUAACGCAUUAAGUCGACCGCCUGGGGAGUACGGCCGCAAGGUUAAAACUCAAAUGAAUUGACGGGGGCCCGCACAAGCGGUGGAGCAUGUGGUUUAUUUGGAUGCAACGCGAAGACCCUUACCUACCCUUGACAUCCAGAGAACUUGGCAGAGAUACCUUGGUGCCUUCGGGAACUCUGAGGCAGGUGGUGCAUGGCUGUUGUCAGCUCGUGUUGUGAAAUGUUGGGUUAAGUCCCGUAACGAGCGCAACCCCUAUCCUUAUUUGCCAGCGAUUCGGUCGGGAACUCUAAGGAGACUGCCGGUGACACACCGGAGGAAGGUGGGGAGGACGUCAAGUCAUCAUGGCCCUUACGGGUAGGGCUACACACGUGCUACAAUGGCAGGUACAGAGGGACGCAAAGCGGCGACGUGGAGCCAAUCCCAGAAAGCCUGCCUCAGUCCGGAUUGGAGUCUGCAACUCGACUCCAUGAAGUAGGAAUCGCUAGUAAUCGCGAAUCAGCAUGUCGCGGUGAAUACGUUCCCGGGCCUUGUACACAC
Molecule: ribosomal RNA, 1358 nt
Filed under: uncultured bacterium
Lineage: Bacteria
Description: partial 16S ribosomal RNA
Rfam family: Bacterial small subunit ribosomal RNA
Source: RNAcentral